GGGGAAUCUUCCGCAAUGGGCGAAAGCCUGACGGAGCAACGCCGCGUGAGGGAGGAAGGCCUGUGGGUUGUAAACCUCUUUUCUCAGGGAAGAAGUUCUGACGGUACCUGAGGAAUCAGCAUCGGCUAACUCCGUGCCAGCAGCCGCGGUAAGACGGAGGAUGCAAGCGUUAUCCGGAAUUAUUGGGCGUAAAGCGUCCGUAGGCGGUUCAGAAAGUCUGCUGUUAAAGCUCACAGCUCAACUGUGAAUCGGCAGUGGAAACUUCUGGACUAGAGAGUGGUAGGGGUAGAGGGAAUUCCUAGUGUAGCGGUGAAAUGCGUAGAUAUUAGGAAGAACACCAGUGGCGAAGGCGCUCUACUGGGCCAUUACUGACGCUGAUGGACGAAAGCUAGGGGAGCGAAAGGGAUUAGAUACCCCUGUAGUCCUAGCUGUAAACGAUGGACACUAGGUGUUGGCCGUAUCGACCCGGUCAGUAUCGAAGCAAACGCGUUAAGUGUCCC
This 500-nucleotide ribosomal RNA is filed under the name uncultured cyanobacterium. Its description in RNAcentral is "bacterial SSU rRNA". It matches the Rfam family "Bacterial small subunit ribosomal RNA", at positions 356 to 870 of the family's 1533-position model. The record is from RNAcentral. Lineage: Bacteria; Bacillati; Cyanobacteriota.